UACGGAGGGUGCAAGCGUUAUCCGGAUUCACUGGGUUUAAAGGGUGCGUAGGCGGAUAGGUAAGUCCGCUGUGAAAGUCCAGGGCUCAACCCUGGGAUGCCGGUGGAUACUGUCGGGCUCGAGUCCGGAAGAGGAGUGUGGAAUUCCUGGUGUAGCGGUGAAAUGCGCAGAUAUCAGGAGGAACACCGAUGGCGAAGGCAGGUCUCUGGGCUGUAACUGACGCUGAGGAGCGAAAGCAUGGGGAGCGAACAGG
Molecule: ribosomal RNA, 253 nt
Filed under: uncultured bacterium
Lineage: Bacteria
Description: partial 16S ribosomal RNA
Rfam family: Bacterial small subunit ribosomal RNA
Source: RNAcentral